Molecule: ribosomal RNA, 1220 nt
Filed under: metagenome
Description: bacterial SSU rRNA
Rfam family: Bacterial small subunit ribosomal RNA
Source: RNAcentral
AGUUGGUAGGGUAAAAGCCUACCAAGGCGACGAUCAGUAGCUGGUUUGAGAGAACGACCAGCCACACUGGAACUGAGACACGGUCCAGACUCCUACGGGAGGCAGCAGUGGGGAAUUUUGGACAAUGGGGGCAACCCUGAUCCAGCAAUGCCGCGUGAGUGAAGAAGGCCUUCGGGUUGUAAAGCUCUUUUGUCAGGGAAGAAACGGUGUUUCCUAAUACGGAAUGCUAAUGACGGUACCUGAAGAAUAAGCACCGGCUAACUACGUGCCAGCAGCCGCGGUAAUACGUAGGGUGCAAGCGUUAAUCGGAAUUACUGGGCGUAAAGCGUGCGCAGGCGGUUUUAUAAGUCUGAUGUGAAAUCCCCGGGCUCAACCUGGGAACUGCAUUGGAGACUGUAAGGCUAGAGUGUGUCAGAGGGGGGUAGAAUUCCACGUGUAGCAGUGAAAUGCGUAGAUAUGUGGAGGAAUACCGAUGGCGAAGGCAGCCCCCUGGGAUAACACUGACGCUCAUGCACGAAAGCGUGGGGAGCAAACAGGAUUAGAUACCCUGGUAGUCCACGCCCUAAACGAUGUCUACUAGUUGUCGGGUCUUAAUUGACUUGGUAACGCAGCUAACGCGUGAAGUAGACCGCCUGGGGAGUACGGUCGCAAGAUUAAAACUCAAAGGAAUUGACGGGGACCCGCACAAGCGGUGGAUGAUGUGGAUUAAUUCGAUGCAACGCGAAAAACCUUACCUACCCUUGACAUGGAAGGAAUCCCGAAGAGAUUUGGGAGUGCUCGAAAGAGAACCUUUACACAGGUGCUGCAUGGCUGUCGUCAGCUCGUGUCGUGAGAUGUUGGGUUAAGUCCCGCAACGAGCGCAACCCUUGUCAUUAGUUGCUACGAAAGGGCACUCUAAUGAGACUGCCGGUGACAAACCGGAGGGAGGUGGGGAUGACGUCAAGUCCUCAUGGCCCUUAUGGGUAGGGCUUCACACGUCAUACAAUGGUACAUACAGAGGGCCGCCAACCCGCGAGGGGGAGCUAAUCCCAGAAAGUGUAUCGUAGUCCGGAUUGUAGUCUGCAACUCGACUACAUGAAGUUGGAAUCGCUAGUAAUCGCGGAUCAGCAUGUCGCGGUGAAUACGUUCCCGGGUCUUGUACACACCGCCCGUCACACCAUGGGAGCGGGUUCUGCCAGAAGUAGUUAGCUUAACCGCAAGGAGGGCGAUUACCACGGCAG